Molecule: transfer RNA, 83 nt
Filed under: Candidatus Peregrinibacteria bacterium RIFOXYA2_FULL_33_7
Lineage: Bacteria; Candidatus Peregrinibacteriota
Also listed under: 4 other names
Description: tRNA-Leu
Rfam family: tRNA
About the family: Transfer RNA (tRNA) molecules are approximately 80 nucleotides in length. Their secondary structure includes four short double-helical elements and three loops (D, anti-codon, and T loops).
Source: RNAcentral
GCCCAGGUGGCGGAAUGGUAUACGCACAACACUUAAAAUGUUGCGAGAUUUUUCUCAUGCGGGUUCGACUCCCGCCCUGGGCA